UACGUAGGGUGCAAGCGUUAAUCGGAAUUACUGGGCGUAAAGCGUGCGCAGGCGGUUUUGUAAGUCAGAUGUGAAAUCCCCGGGCUUAACCUGGGAACUGCGUUUGAAACUACAAGGCUAGAGUGUGGCAGAGGGGGGUGGAAUUCCACGUGUAGCAGUGGAAUGCGUAGAGAUGUGGAGGAACACCGAUGGCGAAGGCAGCCCCCUGGGUUAACACUGACGCUCAGGCACGAAAGCGUGGGGAGCAAACAGG
This 253-nucleotide ribosomal RNA is filed under the name uncultured bacterium. RNAcentral describes it as "partial 16S ribosomal RNA". It matches the Rfam family "Bacterial small subunit ribosomal RNA", at positions 524 to 776 of the family's 1533-position model. The record is from RNAcentral.